GGCUAACUCAGUAGAGCAUGAGACUCUUAAUCUCAGAGUCGUGGGUUCGUGCCCCAC
RNAcentral lists this transfer RNA (57 nucleotides) under Cricetulus griseus (Chinese hamster). It matches the Rfam family "tRNA", at positions 9 to 63 of the family's 71-position model. From Rfam's summary of the family: Transfer RNA (tRNA) molecules are approximately 80 nucleotides in length. Lineage: Eukaryota; Metazoa; Chordata; Mammalia; Rodentia; Cricetidae. The record is from Rfam by way of RNAcentral.